This 598-nucleotide ribosomal RNA is filed under the name uncultured bacterium. RNAcentral's name for it is "bacterial SSU rRNA". The stretch from base 1 to 516 matches the Rfam family "Bacterial small subunit ribosomal RNA", at positions 338 to 873 of the family's 1533-position model. The record is from RNAcentral.
CCUACGGGAGGCAGCAGUAGGGAAUUUUCCGCAAUGGGGGCAACCCUGACGGAGCAACGCCGCGUGAGUGAAGACGGCCUUCGGGUUGUAAAGCUCUGUUCUUGGGGAAGAAAACAAUGACGGUACCCAAGCAGAAAGCCCCGGCUAACUACGUGCCAGCAGCCGCGGUAAUACGUAGGGGGCAAGCGUUGUCCGGAAUUAUUGGGCGUAAAGCGCGCGCAGGUGGUGGAUUAAGUUGUGGGUAAAAGGCAAUGGCUCAACCAUUGUAAGCCUGCAAAACUGGUUCACUUGAGUGCAGGAGAGGGGAGUGGAAUUCCCGGUGUAGCGGUGGAAUGCGUAGAUAUCGGGAGGAACACCAGUGGCGAAGGCGACUCUCUGGCCUGUAACUGACACUGAGGCGCGAAAGCGUGGGGAGCGAACAGGAUUAGAUACCCUGGUAGUCCACGCCGUAAACGAUGAGUGCUAGGUGUUGGGGACAUCACGUCUCAGUGCGACGAACCGACUAGACACNCCGCCGGGACGGUACGGCCGCGAGCGUGAACGACGAAGAAGUAGACGGCGNGAGACGUGUCCGACGGCGACGACGAGGGGAGGUAGG